Molecule: long non-coding RNA, 199 nt
Filed under: Actinidia chinensis (golden kiwifruit)
Lineage: Eukaryota; Viridiplantae; Streptophyta; Magnoliopsida; Ericales; Actinidiaceae
Description: long non-coding RNA (ACHI_LNC007881)
Source: RNAcentral
AAUUUGUGAAAAGUGUCUAAAUAUUCAUGAAAAAAUGUGUAGUCUUGGGAUCUGGCGACACGAGAACAGAGCGCCGGCCAUUGAAGAUUUAUCCCAUUGAAUAAAUAUAGAAUAACUUAAUAAAGAAAAGAAUUGAGAAAGUAUGAUAUGUAACUUCCAGUGGGGCUUUUCUACUUCUGAGAGUAUGUCCUGUUUAUUU